GGCUGAGUGGCAGAGAGGUUAUGCAGCGGCCUGCAAAGCCGUGUAGCCCGGUUCGAUUCCGGGCUCAGCCUCCA
RNAcentral lists this transfer RNA (74 nucleotides) under Gammaproteobacteria bacterium. Its description in RNAcentral is "tRNA-Cys". It matches the Rfam family "tRNA". Rfam says of the family: Transfer RNA (tRNA) molecules are approximately 80 nucleotides in length. Their secondary structure includes four short double-helical elements and three loops (D, anti-codon, and T loops). The record is from RNAcentral. Lineage: Bacteria; Pseudomonadati; Pseudomonadota; Gammaproteobacteria.